GGGGUGAGGUGAUGGGGCUAUUUGUGACCCACGGAUUGUGAUUCCGGGGGUCGCCGGUUCGAGUCCGGUUUAUCACCCCA
This 80-nucleotide transfer RNA is filed under the name Pelagicoccus mobilis. RNAcentral describes it as "tRNA-His". Lineage: Bacteria; Pseudomonadati; Verrucomicrobiota; Opitutia; Puniceicoccales; Pelagicoccaceae. The record is from RNAcentral.